CAGGGAGGACGACCUCCCGAUUUUCCACAUCAGCGACCGGGACGACCCGG
This 50-nucleotide non-coding RNA is filed under the name Hyphomicrobium denitrificans. RNAcentral's name for it is "Guanidine-II sequence". It matches the Rfam family "Guanidine-II riboswitch aptamer (mini-ykkC)". From Rfam's summary of the family: Simpler in structure and has fewer highly conserved nucleotide positions than the ykkC-yxkD leader. The record is from RNAcentral. RNAcentral also lists the same sequence under 1 other name. Lineage: Bacteria; Pseudomonadati; Pseudomonadota; Alphaproteobacteria; Hyphomicrobiales; Hyphomicrobiaceae.